Cavia porcellus (domestic guinea pig) is the source of this 132-nucleotide non-coding RNA. NCBI's taxonomy places the organism in Eukaryota, Metazoa, Chordata, Mammalia, Rodentia, Caviidae. The record is from Rfam.
CUGCAAAUAUUCUCGCUGUUCUGAUUGUGUCAUAAUCAGGGCAGGCUAAACAUUUGCUAUAGUAAGACCAUGCAUGUGUCCCCAGACCUUGAUCUUUCCCUAGGUCUGGUUUUAUAAAUGCUGCUGAUAAAU